UACGAAGGGGGCUAGCGUUGCUCGGAAUCACUGGGCGUAAAGCGCACGUAGGCGGAUUGUUAAGUCAGGGGUGAAAUCCUGGAGCUCAACUCCAGAACUGCCUUUGAUACUGACGGUCUUGAGUUCGGGAGAGGUGAGUGGAACUGCGAGUGUAGAGGUGAAAUUCGUAGAUAUUCGCAAGAACACCAGUGGCGAAGGCGGCUCACUGGCCCGAUACUGACGCUGAGGUGCGAAAGCGUGGGGAGCGAACGGG
RNAcentral lists this ribosomal RNA (253 nucleotides) under uncultured bacterium. Its description in RNAcentral is "partial 16S ribosomal RNA". It matches the Rfam family "Bacterial small subunit ribosomal RNA", at positions 524 to 776 of the family's 1533-position model. The record is from RNAcentral.